UACGGGGGGAGCAAGCGUUGUUCGGAUUUACUGGGCGUAAAGGGCGCGUAGGCGGCCACCGCAAGUCGACUGUGAAAUCUCCGGGCUUAACCCGGAAAGGUCAGCCGAUACUGCGGGGCUAGAGUGCAGAAGGGCAACUGGAAUUCUCGGUGUAGCGGUGAAAUGCGUAGAUAUCGAGAGGAACACCUGCGGCGAAGGCGGGUUGCUGGGCUGAUACUGACGCUGAGGCGCGAAAGCUAGGGAGCGAACGGG
Molecule: ribosomal RNA, 252 nt
Filed under: uncultured bacterium
Lineage: Bacteria
Description: partial 16S ribosomal RNA
Rfam family: Bacterial small subunit ribosomal RNA
Source: RNAcentral